CCAUGGUAGCUCCGCGCGCGGCGCUGCCGGGCACCGGGACCCUCCCGGCCCCGCCCGCCGCCGUGCUGGCCCCGCCCCUCCCGCGCGCAGCGCCGGCCCCGCCCCUUCCCAACGGCCGCCCUCAGGGGCCUGCGGCGGGCGGAGCCGGCGUUUCGUCGGGCGCCGGUUCUGUUGUUGCAGUCCCUGCGUGACUGCGAUAAAGCGCGCCCGGCUUCGCGGAGCCGCACGUCCCUCCUCAGGCCUGAGCGCGGUGAUGUAGGCCAGGGUACAGCCCUGCCGUUACGGGAGAAACUUCUCCCAGGGCUACAUGGCGAGCCGGCCUGGGCCGCGGGGACGCUCAGAGCAGGGGAGGAAGUUACCCGCCUCGGGGUGGUUGGGGCCCCUUAGAGAGGUAUGGACUCUGGUAAAUAUGAACCCACCACAAUUGUAUCGUGGAUCUUUUUAAUAUUCUGGGGGGAGGGGGUGUGACAUAAAUAGCCCAGGGUUGAAGUGCAGAGCCACUUCCUUGCAAAAACUUCACACCCCCCAAAAAAGUUGGCUGCCUAAAGCGUGGGGCCCUGGGCGGUCAUCCAGUUUGCGCUGCCCGAAGGCUGCUGCUGUUUUCCAUCUCCCACGAAAAGAUCCCCAACUAGCCAACAAACAAACAGUUUGGGAAGGGGAGGGGAGGAACGGUCUGAAAUACAAACAUGCAGCACAGAUGUGGCAUAGACUGGGCUCAGGAACAAAAUGAGCGGCUGGGUGGUGUAGCUGAGGUCAGGCAGUUUCCACCCCUCCCUCACACUACUUGAAAAGCCAGGUGCCCAUUCACAUUGGGUUGAACUGUGCCCCAUCCAUCAGUACCCACAUGGUCGCUGAAAGGGAGUGCUUGGAGGAAGUCUGUCUUUAACACGGUUUCCUUCAUAGCUCGUUUUGCACCUGUUCUUCAUUCUGUUUUGAGGCUGUCUACGGAGUUGCUUAAGGAAUGUAGCUUUCUAAUGGACAAGUUAACCAGGAAGCCAAAGAGGAACAAUAGCAGGGAAGCCAUUAAUAAUGGUUUUUUCUAGGGACUUUGACCCCUGUACUUGCAAACAUUCCGGCCUGAGCUGAUUUUGUCAGAAAAAAACUACAAGUUGCCCAUGUGGAUUCCUUCCAACUCCUAGUUUGAGAAUCCAGAGGAAAGACCACAACCUGGCUUUUGGCCCUAGCAUUUCCGCACUGAGGAGCAACCUGCCUCCGUUAUCUUCUCCGUCAGCAGGAAGGUUCCAGAGUCCAUCAGUCCAAGCUGCUUCUGUAACGUUCUUGUUCCUAGAGUUGUGCUUCCUGCCACUAUUGUUGUAUGGCAAAUUGCACACCCUGCAGUUUCUGCUAUUUUUCUACAGCUUGGAGGAGGAGCGCCUGUGUUUGCUGUUGCUUUUGUAGUUUAGCCAUCUACUUUUGCUAUGUACCUAGAACAGGGGUGGGCAAAAUACGGCCCGUGGGCCAGAUCCGGUCCGCAAGGCCAUUCUGUCUGGCCCGUGGGGCCCCUAAAAAGAUUUUGAAAAUUAAAAUGCAUCUGUCCUUGGUUCCUGUAAAAAAUGACAGGAACUAGAGGCAGUAGGACCCAGGGGAAUCCUCGGCAGGCUUGCAACAGGAGGGCCUGCCCAGCCAGCCGCCACCCCAGCAGGGGCUUCUGGCCUGGGACCAUGUGGCUGCCCUGGCAUGGGAACCUCAGAUUUGCAUCUACAAUUGUACCUGCAAGAGGCCAUACACAGAACAGCAGCACAUCUCCUUUUCCAUGAACAACCUAUGAGGUAUCAUAAGUAUUUUAAUGCAGGUCUAAAAUACACAUUUCCUUAGCUUGUGGGAGAAGCAGCACUAAAUGGAGAAGACAACAUUCAAAUCACCUUGGAGUAUGUAAUAUCUAAUACCAGCUGCAGUACAGAGAUUUAAUUGAUAACAGCAUCUAAUGGCUAAUGCUGGAAGUAUGUCACGAUGCUAUUAGCGCAUGGAAGAGAAAGCGAGAGGGAUAUUGAAAGGAGGACAAGAAAAAAAGGCAAAAGAAAGGUGAAAAGGUGAUGGCACUCAGAAGAGGAGAUGCCGCUGUUGAUUGUAAACAGCAAUAACAAUUAGCCCAUUACCUGCGGGUGCCCCUGCCAUUACUGUUAAAGCUGCCAUCGAUUUGGUACCGAUAUAAUGACUUUUUAC
This is a long non-coding RNA of Alligator mississippiensis (American alligator), 2163 nucleotides long. RefSeq lists it as uncharacterized. The transcript has 4 exons. Lineage: Eukaryota; Metazoa; Chordata; Crocodylia; Alligatoridae. The record is from RefSeq and is a predicted model, not a curated record.